RNA transcript from Mus musculus (house mouse), 3277 nucleotides. It is a transcript of the gene named carnitine palmitoyltransferase 1c, with no coding region annotated. The transcript has 21 exons. Lineage: Eukaryota; Metazoa; Chordata; Mammalia; Rodentia; Muridae. The record is from RefSeq and is marked validated.
GAUUGGAAAAGAGCAGGGACAGAACGCGGAGGGAUCGGAGGAGGCGGGGAUAAAACCUAGGGCCAGAACACCCAGUUCAGGGAGGGAGGAGGCGCCCGCGAGGUGUCUCUGGGUUUCAGGAUAACAGCCAAAGACGGUUGAUCAGUUUGUGGACUCAUUACACGGGGACUGGAUGUAUGUACAUGGGAAACUGGGUACUGGACUCAAACUGGGGGAAGGAGGUGUAUAUGGAAUUGACCUCAGGAACCGCAGCUGCUGACCUCUGACCGGUGGGCCCAGGGAACAUGGCUGAGGCACACCAGGCCUCGAGCUUGCUGUCUUCACUGAGUUCCGAUGGGGCAGAAGUAGAGCUCAGCUCGCCAGUGUGGCAGGAAAUUUACCUCUGUGCCCUGCGCUCCUGGAAAAGGCAUCUCUGGCGUGUCUGGAAUGACUUUCUUGCUGGUGUGGUCCCUGCAACCCCCCUCAGCUGGCUCUUCCUCUUCAGUACAAUCCAGCUUGCCUGUCUCCUCCAGCUGGACCCUUCCCUAGGACUGAUGGAGAAGAUUAAAGAGUUACUGCCAGACUGGGGCGGACAGCACCAUCAGCUCCAGGGGUUCUUGUCAGCAGCAGUUUUUGCAUCUUGUUUGUGGGGAGCCCUCAUCUUCACCCUUCAUGUGGCUCUGAGGCUCCUUCUGUCCCACCAUGGCUGGCUUCUGGAACCUCAUGGCGCCAUGUCCUCACCCACGAAGACCUGGCUGGCAUUGGUCAGAAUCUUUUCCGGGAGGCACCCGAGGCUCUUCAGCUUCCAACGCGCGCUCCCGCGACAGCCAGUGCCCUCGGCGCAGGAGACCGUGCGCAAGUACCUAGAGUCUGUACGCCCUGUGCUCGGAGACGACGCUUUCGACCGCGCUACAGCGCUGGCAAAUGACUUCCUGAGGUUGCACGCACCACGGCUACAGCUCUAUUUGCAACUCAAGUCCUGGUGUACUUCCAACUACGUCAGCGACUGGUGGGAAGAGUUUGUGUACCUGCGCUCUCGAGGCUCACUGAUUAAUAGCACCUACUACAUGAUGCAGGAUUUUCUGUACGUCACCCCCACACCGCUGCAGGCAGCCCGCGCGGGCAAUGCUGUGCAUACCCUGCUCCUGUAUCGCCACCUGCUGAACCGGCAGGAGAUCUCACCGACAUUGCUGAUGGGGAUGCGACCCUUGUGUUCCGCCCAGUAUGAGAGGAUGUUCAACACUACACGGAUUCCAGGGGUGGAAAAAGACCACCUUCGUCACCUUCAAGACAGCCGACACGUGGCUGUCUUCCACCGGGGCAGAUUCUUCCGUGUAGGGACUCACUCUCCCAAUGGCCUGCUUUCCCCACGGGCCCUGGAACAGCAGUUCCAGGACAUCCUGGAUGACCCCUCCCCAGCCUGUCCCCUUGAGGAACACCUAGCUGCUCUGACUGCUGCUCCCAGGAGUAUGUGGGCUCAGGUGCGGGAGUCGGUGAAGACCCACGCAGCCACCGCCCUGGAGGCUGUGGAAGGGGCUGCCUUCUUUGUGUCCCUCGAUUCUGAGCCCGCGGGACUGACCAGAGAGGACCCCGCAGCUUCCCUGGACGCUUAUGCCCACGCUCUGCUGGCUGGCCGAGGCCAUGACCGCUGGUUUGACAAAUCCUUCACCCUCAUCGUCUUCUCCAAUGGGAAGCUGGGCCUCAGCGUGGAACACUCAUGGGCCGACUGCCCUGUCUCAGGGCAUUUGUGGGAGUUCACCCUGGCCACAGAGUGCUUCCAGUUGGGUUAUGCCACAGAUGGCCACUGUAAGGGGCACCCUGACCCUACCCUGCCACAGCCCCAGCGCCUGCAGUGGGACCUUCCAGAGCAGAUCCAGCCGUCCAUCUCGCUGGCCCUGAGGGGAGCCAAGACCUUGUCUGGCAACAUCGACUGCCACGUCUUCCCCUUCUCCCACUUCGGCAAGAGCUUCAUCAAAUGCUGUCAUGUCUCUUCAGACAGCUUCAUCCAGUUGGUCCUGCAGCUGGCCCACUUCCGGGACAGGGGUCAAUUCUGCCUGACUUAUGAGUCAGCCAUGACCCGACUGUUCCUGGAAGGCAGGACAGAGACAGUGAGGUCUUGCACCAGAGAAGCCUGCCAGUUUGUGAGAGCCAUGGACAACAAGGAGACAGACCAACAUUGCCUCGCCCUGUUCCGAGUGGCCGUGGACAAGCACCAGGCUCUACUGAAGGCGGCGAUGAGUGGCCAGGGGAUUGACCGUCACCUCUUUGCACUGUACAUCAUGUCCCGGCUCCUCCAUAUGCAGUCGCCCUUCCUGACCCAGGUCCAGUCGCAGCAAUGGCUGCUGUCCACCAGCCAGGUCCCUGUGCAGCAGACACACCUGAUUGAUGUCCACAAUUAUCCGGAUUACGUUUCCUCUGGAGGUGGAUUUGGGCCUGCCCAUGACCAUGGGUAUGGUAUCUCCUACAUCUUCAUGGGGGAAAACGCAAUCACCUUCCAUAUCUCCAGCAAGAAAUCAAGCACAGAAACAGACUCUCACCGGCUGGGGCAGCACAUCGAAAAUGCCCUGUUGGAUGUAGCCUCCCUGUUCCGGGUUGGACAGCAUUUCAAGCGCCAGUUCAGGGGGGAGAAUUCGGAUUAUAGAUACAACUUUCUCUCCUGUAAGACUGUGGACCCCAAUACCCCUACAUCCUCCACCAACUUGUGAGCCCCUCAGCAGGGAGCUGGUCUCCCUCAGGAUGGAAGGUGUUGCUCCCAGGGCUUGGCUGGCGCAGACAGGGGUAUCGGGGAUUCCCACACCCACCUGGUAAUAAAGAUCCCGCACUACCACCUGAGCAGGCUCCAUCCCAAACUCCCUGGCCAGACCUGAUCAGUCAGCUUCUCACAAUCAGGCACCUCAUUCCUGUCACCCAACACCAAAGGUCCGUCAGACCAUCUCCACACUGAGGUCUGGACAGCAAUUCUAUCCUGCGAGGAGAAAGGAUCGAGGCAGGGUGUCCUGUAGUUCAGGCAGGCUGCUCUGGAACUUCCUAUGUAGCCACACUCUUGAUUCUCCUGUGUCUGCUUGGAUGAUGGACUAUACCACUGAUUGCUGGGUCAUUUUACUGCCUCAUCUGCAAAAUGGGUGAAGGACUCUUCUAGGACUUGGGGGACUGAGGGCCAGCAAAACUCCAGGACCCUCUGUCACACAGCCUCGGGGACAUGGUCUCUUCCUCUUCUGCUCCUCCUUCCUCCUCCUCUUUGUUCUUUCCAUUCCCCCCUUCCCUUUCUCGCGGUUUAAAGUUUGUUUUUUGUAUUUUA